Molecule: long non-coding RNA, 517 nt
Organism: Homo sapiens (human)
Lineage: Eukaryota; Metazoa; Chordata; Mammalia; Primates; Hominidae
Exons: 2
Source: RefSeq, a predicted model, not a curated record
AAAUUUUACAAGAAAAAAUAUAUAUAUAGAGAGAGAGAGACAUACAGUCUCAGCCCACUACCACCACCAUUAUCACAGCACCUGGACUGUGAGGAGAUUAGAGGCAGCUGAUGACUGUCCCAGAAGGAGCCGAAAGUGCUGAAGGACAGACAUCCUGAGGAAAUGGGGCUGGCAGAGUGGACCUGGCAAAUGGUUUGGAUAAUGAGCGCCUAGGCUACCAUCACUUUCUUACAGAGGAAGUGAUUCAUGCACUGUUUUGUCCUGCAGAUGCGUCCUGCCCUUGAACAACAGACUCCAAGUUUUUCAGCUUUUGGACUCUUGGACUACACCAUUGGUUUGCCAGGGGUUCUCAGGCCUUUGGCCACAGACUGAAGGCUGCGCUGUCGGCUCCCCUACUUCUGAGGUUUUGGGACUCAGACUGGCUUCCUUACCCCUCAGCUUGCAGACGGCCUAUUGUGGGACCUCACCUUGUGAUCGUGUGCAUCAAUACUCCUUAAUAAACUCCCCUUCAUAUAUA